Molecule: long non-coding RNA, 3607 nt
Organism: Mya arenaria
Lineage: Eukaryota; Metazoa; Mollusca; Bivalvia; Myida; Myidae
Exons: 3
Source: RefSeq, a predicted model, not a curated record
UUUUUGUUUUACUACGAAAUCCUCUUUAACAUGUAUUACCUAACCAUUUGACUUAUUAUAGUGUAUUAUGCCACAUAUUUGUUCAUGGUUUCAUGAUUAAACUGACCCACAUACUUUAAAGCCUCAGAUAAAUGUCCACUUGCAAACAAACGGGCUUCAGAAAAUAGUGUAGUUUUAUAAACUAAUUUUCAUCAAUCAAUAAUUAAGUCAACAUUUAUAUUUUAUUAAGCGUUGGUAAAUGUAUUCAAAAUUACAAGUAGUCAGGGGCAUGAGGAUAGACCACGUUUUUUUUACUAUAUGUCUAUAUAAAUCCGCCAUCUUGGUGAGGACCGAUCAGCAGACGAUAGUUUUUUUACAUGUGGAUAAUUCGAGUCUAGCAGAGGAGACGUUUUCUAUACUCGUAGCGUCCACUGCCGGAUUAAACCAGUUUACGUAUUUUAAUCGUUGUGCAAUCGUUACCUAUACCAGCUAACUAUUUCAAAGCGUUGACACCUUAUUAUUCAAUAUAAAUCGGCCAUUUUGAAAGAAGAGUGCAUUUUUGGAACCGCUAGGGCGUAACGCUAUGGGAUUACAAACGAUAUUUGCGAAUUUGGUUUCAAUAGUCAUCAUACAUUUUAUUUACAUACAACAAAUGUGUUUACAUAAAGCAGAUGCUGUUCAAAUUCAAAUACUUUUUAUAUACAUGUGCUACACAGUAUAUUGUCAGGUUGUAUAAAUCAAUACAUGCUAAAAUAUACCUACCACAAAACACGCGUUAGUCAUAGCAAAAUGGUGUGAAAUAAAACAUAUAGUGAAUAUUGCAUACAUAUUCAUGGUAUCGACUCAUGAUCGUUGUAAGGAAGACAUGGCAUAUUAACGAUUUGUACCAACAUUUAUAGUCCAUAGGGUACUUUUUGGAAAUCAUUCGUGAUGAAGCGCUUGUCGAAAACAAUUAUAUAAUCCUUUGCUUCACUUUUUGUUACAAUACAGCAUUUUUCAGGGUUUCGUACAAUUUUGUUUUCAUCGACGAGAGUGACUGAGUCAAUCUUGGUUCCGCACGUGACCAUUGACGGUGUUUCAUCAAUGAGGUCACCUAAAUAGUCGCCAUGAGGAGGUUCCUAGUAUCCAGGACGAGUGGUAUAGACAACUGAAUCAGUGUCACAGUACAAAACACGUUUUCCUAAAGGCUUCAAAUAACAGUGCAACUUGAGUCUUGCGUGGGCUGGGGUUUAUGCGACAAUGACCACAUUGGUUCUAGAAGCAGUUUCAAUAAAGUCAUGGCCAUGAAUCUAAUCUUAUUGUACUGCCUGGUCAUUUACGAAUCGAACGUUUUUUUUUUGUUUUUUUUUUUUAUCUGAUGUCAUAUUAUCCAUAAACAAAGCAGGAUCGUCAGUGUACGGCGUGUGCGUAAGAUUGGAGCGUUGUCCGAAUUUUCCCCAGAAUGAGUUUAUCAUCAGUUUCGCUAGGGACCUCAAACCUGGAUUUUGUUGUAUUUUGUCAAAAUCAAGACAGAUCCCUUCUUUUUCAAAAUAUUGCUGAAUGUACGUCUGUUUCGAUUCCUCAUAAACGCACCAGUUGGGCCACCCGCUGGCUUCUUGCUUGACCUUUAAAAAUGUGUUGACGUAUUCGGUGAAAAAGCCGCCUUUUUUUAGACUUUUGUCGCAUUGUGAUAUUUCACUGACUUCGUAAGUUUUAAUUAUUUUAUUGAACUGGUGGUCACGAUACCAGGUGUUAAAUUUUGCUCGGCUUUUGGUUUUCAUAUUGUCAUAGUUGUAGUACUUUAUAUCAGAAAGGUUCGCAAUUACGGCAUGUUGAUUUCAUUCACGAUUGAACAGGUGUGGAAAAUAUUAUUUGGCUAUUUCAGUUUCUCCAAAGGCAUUUGGCAUGUCAGACAAAACCAUUGGUAUAAAGUUAAUUGAAUCAAUCAUUCUUAUCCUACAUGAUGGCACCGUGAUAGACAUGUACUUCGAUCCUGUUGUGAUGACUUCCGGAAGUAUGGCAUUCUCAUGAAGCUCCACAACACGACUUUUCUCAACUGGUACACUUGUUGUCGACACCCUGGAGGUAAACCGAUUCACACUCUAAAGAGAAUCUUGGGUGCAUUCAAAAUCGAAGAUAAUGUACUUUUUGUCUCUUGAUUUCACUUUGCCAGCCAUAUUAUUGGGGUCUACUGCCUGUUGCAUGUAACACUGAUGACCUUCUGCGAAAAACUCGUUUUACAGUAAGUCUCUCAACACACAUGAUCGCGUGUAUGUUUUGACUGAUUUAUAAAUUGGUUUAAUAGAUAACUACAUUCUGCCACUCAGAAACAGUGAAUUACAUACAAAAAUUAUGCCUCAGAUAGAUAAACUGAUCUCUAAAGGAUAUAGUACCACUUCAGCCGUGACAAAAACGUUAAGAACGCACAAGAACUCUUUUCAAGGUUUAUUUGAUAUGGAAUUUACCGACGAUGAAGAGGAGGAAUCUGAUGGUGACGUCAGUAGAGGAAACAAAAAAUGUAUUAAUUGAUACUAGUUGCUUGAAGUUGUUUAUUCAUGUUGUGAACUCUGAACAGUGAACAUGGCUCAUUGGAAAUAUUAUUUAAAACAAUUUAUUAUGACCCCAAACACGCUGCGGGGUUUGCAGAACGACAGAAAUUGUAUGAAGUGGUCGAUGAAGAAGGAAAAUUUAACAUUGGCAUGCAUAGGAUACGACAAUGCUUGCAUGAUCAAGAAUCCUGCAGUCUACACAAGCCAACUAGAAGGCGAUCUCUGAGAAAUCACAUCAUAAGCUCGGGAAAAGACGAAAUGUGGAUGGCUGACUUAAUCGAUAUUGAAGUUUGCGGGCUGGAAUCAAGGUUACAAGUACAUCCUGUUGGUGAUUGACACUUUCUCGAAGUACGUGUGGUUACAACCGCUAAAAUACAAAACUGGCGAAGAAGUGGCGCAAGCCUUUUAAAACAUCUUUGCAACGACUAGUCGCUCUCCGGUCAAGUUGAUAACUGAUAAAGGUCAGGAAUUUAAGGCCAGGAAAGUCCAAGACCUAAUGUUGAAUAAGAAAUCCAUUAUUUCCCGACUCAAAACGAAACUAAGACGUCUACAUCAGAGAGGGCCACCUUAACCACCAAGACUCGUCUCAUGCGCUAUUUUUCAUCCAUGGAAACGGCAACAUUUCUACCCGUGCUACAAGAUAUUGCUGACAAUUAUAACAAGACCUAUCAUCGAAAUAUUUGAAUGCGACCUGUUGACGUUAAAGACGUGAAUAAAGAAGAGGUGCGAUUGGCAACAUACUUUGCACACAAUCCAAAGAACAUCAAACAAGUCACAAAACUGAUACCGUUCAAACUAAAAGUGAGUGAUUAUGUCCGCAUCAGUCAUCUAAAAACUGUGUUUACUCGAGCGUAUGAUGAGACAUACUCAGGUGAAUGGUUUAAAGUACACAAACGCUAUCACAGAGGUACAUUACCGAUAUACGAGAUUUACAAAAUGAAGAUAUUAAAGGAACGUUUGAUCAAAGUGAGCUCCAGAGAACAGAAUAUAAUCUAAACAGUGCAUUCAAAAUCGAGAAGAUAUUGAAAACAAAAGGCAAAGGAGCAAAUAAACAGUAUUUUGUGAAAUGGAAAUAUUAUCCAAAGAAGUUUAACAAAUAG